GUCGUUCAGGAGCAAACACUGUCAGUGUUGCGGUGUUAGCUUAGCGCUAGGAGUAAACAUCGGAGUUUCGGUGUCCUCUGAUUUUUAAGUGGGCAGGUCACAGAAUAUAUUUACGUAAAUCUCCUCAAUAACCGGUGAAAGACAUGCUGCUCGACGUCUGCUGAGAUGGAGGAGACUGCCAAUAUGGCGCAUAACUUCCACUGGUAAGCUUCCAUGCGCCUCCUAGCGGUGGUUGUAGAGUACUACAGUUUGGCCAGCAAUAAGAUGAUCAUUUUACCCCCCAAAAAACACACCAAUAAAAGUGUUUCACACAAAAAAAAUCAGAAGAAAGACAUUUAUUACAACUAAUAGAUUUAUCACAUGUACAACUAUUUACAAACAGUAAAUAUUUAACAAAAAGAGAAAAAAAA
Long non-coding RNA from Oryzias melastigma (Indian medaka), 410 nucleotides. RefSeq lists it as uncharacterized. The record is from RefSeq and is a predicted model, not a curated record. Lineage: Eukaryota; Metazoa; Chordata; Actinopteri; Beloniformes; Adrianichthyidae. The transcript is spliced from 2 exons.